Molecule: long non-coding RNA, 402 nt
Filed under: Equus asinus (donkey)
Lineage: Eukaryota; Metazoa; Chordata; Mammalia; Perissodactyla; Equidae
Description: lncRNA (ENSEASG00005029155.1)
Source: RNAcentral
CAAAUGUCUUGCAUCAGGGCUGUUCUCCACCAAUCUCUGCUUCCCAGCAGUUUUCUUCUCUGUGGGAUGGCUUGUGACAGCCACAGAGAUAGUCUGGGACCUGGAAGAAACGAGCCUGAACGUGAAAGCAGAGAGCAGCCCGGCCUGUUGUGCAGAGUACAGAAUGUUCUCUUCUGUGAACUGAGCUUGAACUUUUCCAACCCACUUUGUUUGGGGAACCAUACAGACACAGAGGGGAAAAGAUAGGGAAGAUAACCCCCAAAUGGUUGAAAUCAUUGUGUUCUCUCUGAUUUUGGCACAGAUCGUUUGCUUUUCACUGCUCCAAAUUAAAAAUCCCAAGCAUUACAGUUCUUGGAAAAAUGGAAUGCCUGUGAUGUCUUUUCUCUAACUCAGGGCUCUGGC